UCGUUGUAGCAAUACGAUGGAAAGUCUAGUGGCGAACGGGUGCUUAACACGUGGGCAACCUGCCAAGAAGUGGGGGACAGCUCGCCGAAAGGCGGAUUAAUACCGCAUGUGAUUAGAGAGGACAUCCUUUCGAAAUUAAAGUCGGGGCAACCUGACGCUUCUUGUGGGGCCCGCGGCCUAUCAGCUAGUUGGUGGGGUAACGGCCCACCAAGGCUUUGACGGGUAGCUGGUCUGAGAGGACGACCAGCCACACUGGGACUGAGACACGGCCCAGACACCUACGGGUGGCAGCAGUCGAGAAUUUUUGACAAUGGGGGAAACCCUGAUCGAGCGACGCCGCGUGGAGGAUGAAGGUCUUCGGAUUGUAAACUCCUGUCAUUGGGGAACAAUGCGUGACGGUUAACUGCCGUUGCGUUGAUAGUACUCGAAGAGGAAGAGACGGCUAACUCUGUGCCAGCAGCCGCGGUAAUACAGAGGUCUCAAGCGUUGUUCGGAUUCAUUGGGCGUAAAGGGUGCGUAGGCGGCGCGGUAAGUCGGGUGUGAAAUCUCGGGGCUUAACUCCGAAACUGCAUUCGAUACUGCCGUGCUUGAGGACUGGAGAGGAGACUGGAAUUCACGGUGUAGCA
RNAcentral lists this ribosomal RNA (626 nucleotides) under uncultured Verrucomicrobiota bacterium. RNAcentral's name for it is "bacterial SSU rRNA". It matches the Rfam family "Bacterial small subunit ribosomal RNA", at positions 71 to 680 of the family's 1533-position model. The record is from RNAcentral. Lineage: Bacteria; Pseudomonadati; Verrucomicrobiota.